Molecule: ribosomal RNA, 254 nt
Filed under: uncultured bacterium
Lineage: Bacteria
Also listed under: 1 other name
Description: partial 16S ribosomal RNA
Rfam family: Bacterial small subunit ribosomal RNA
Source: RNAcentral
UACGGGGGGAGCAAGCGUUGUUCGGAUUUACUGGGCGUAAAGGGCGCGUAGGCGGUCAGCACAAGUCAGUUGUGAAAUCUCCGGGCUUAACUCGGAAAGGUCAACUGAUACUGUGCGACUAGAGUGCAGAAGGGGCAACUGGAAUUCUCGGUGUAGCGGUGAAAUGCGUAGAUAUCGAGAGGAACACCAGUGGCGAAGGCGACCACCUGGACUGAUACUGACACUGAGGUGCGAAAGCGUGGGGAGCAAACAGG